This 344-nucleotide long non-coding RNA is filed under the name Linum usitatissimum (flax). Its description in RNAcentral is "long non-coding RNA (LUSI_LNC001175)". The record is from RNAcentral. Lineage: Eukaryota; Viridiplantae; Streptophyta; Magnoliopsida; Malpighiales; Linaceae.
CAGAGACAAUGACAUUACAACUAUUGCUGCCAAUUUGACUGGUUUGCACCGGAGAGACAGGAAAAUCUAGAAAACCAGACAAAGGCUCUGCAGACCAGGAAUCACUGUUUCCCUUGGCAUCACGACUUGAAGUUGGGGGCGGAAGGAAUUGAGACUGAGAAGAUUGUGGCACUGGUAAAGUUGACAUGUCUGUAGAUGAAACGAAAGGAUAACUCGAGUUUUUCUCUUGUAGUGAGACAGGAGUGAACUGGAAGCCAGUUGACAAGCCUGCAGAUGAUGAGAAGAUGGGACCCACUGCACCACUGUGAGAAGACAAAGAGGACCUUGCCGUACGGUCCAUUUCC